This 977-nucleotide long non-coding RNA is filed under the name Lathyrus oleraceus (garden pea). RNAcentral's name for it is "Pisum sativum (pea) long non-coding RNA (PSAT_LNC042337)". The record is from RNAcentral. Lineage: Eukaryota; Viridiplantae; Streptophyta; Magnoliopsida; Fabales; Fabaceae.
UGGUCAUGUCUGAGGAACAGACCAUCAAUGAUGUGGUCAUGACUGAAGCCAUGACUGAAAAUGAGUUGGCCAUUUCCACAAUUGAUUCCAACCAUCACCUUUCCCAUCCUGAAGAAACUCACUCUCAUAACCAUCACUUUGCUGAUUUCCAUAUGAUUCCUGACUGAAGCCAUGACUGAAAAUGAGUUGGCCAUUUCCACAAUUGAUUCCAACCAUCACCUUUCCCAUCCUGAAGAAACUCACUCUCAUAACCAUCACUUUGCUGAUUUCCAUAUGAUUCCUGAAGAUCACCUGCCUCAACCUAAAUCUCUACCCAGUUGUGAAUUUACCACUGCCCAUUUUCCGGCCACCGAUGCUCAAUUCUCGCUCCGCCACGCCUUCGGUAACGUUCUUGUGUUCUUCAUCCUGAUCCUGAUCGGUGUUCUCGCUUUCUCGAUCCGUCUCUUCUCCGUUAUAAAGUAUGAGAGCGUUAUUCAUGAAUUCGAUCCUUAUUUCAACUACAGAGUCACUCAGUUUUUGUCAAAGAAUGGCAUAUAUGAUUUCUGGAACUGGUUUGAUGACCGAACUUGGUAUCCCCUUGGCCGUGUCAUGGUUUGACCUUGACAGCAGGCACCUUGUGGUGGGUAUUGAAUUCCUUGAACAUACCUCUCUCGGUUGAAACUGUUUGUGUAUUUACAGCACCUAUAUUCUCAGCCUUUGCCUCGUGGACAACUUAUCUAUUAACGAAGGAGGUUAAGGGUUCCGGAGCUGGCUUGACAGCAGCACUUUUUUGGCUAUGGUCCCAUCAUAUAUAUCUCGAUCUGUGGCAGGAAGCUAUGAUAAUGAAGCUGUUGCUAUAUUUGCUUUGAUCUUCACUUUCUAUCUCUAUAUUAAGACGCUGAAUACAUGGUCCCUCUUUUAUGCCACUUUGAACUCAAUAGCAUACUUCUACAUGGUUUGCUCAUGGGGAGGAUACACUUUUAUCAUUAACUUUAUUC